RNAcentral lists this ribosomal RNA (557 nucleotides) under Saccharomyces cerevisiae (brewer's yeast). RNAcentral describes it as "eukaryotic LSU rRNA". It matches the Rfam family "Eukaryotic large subunit ribosomal RNA", at positions 59 to 630 of the family's 3401-position model. The record is from RNAcentral. Lineage: Eukaryota; Fungi; Ascomycota; Saccharomycetes; Saccharomycetales; Saccharomycetaceae.
AAGAAACCAACCGGGAUUGCCUUAGUAACGGCGAGUGAAGCGGCAAAAGCUCAAAUUUGAAAUCUGGUACCUUCGGUGCCCGAGUUGUAAUUUGGAGAGGGCAACUUUGGGGCCGUUCCUUGUCUAUGUUCCUUGGAACAGGACGUCAUAGAGGGUGAGAAUCCCGUGUGGCGAGGAGUGCGGUUCUUUGUAAAGUGCCUUCGAAGAGUCGAGUUGUUUGGGAAUGCAGCUCUAAGUGGGUGGUAAAUUCCAUCUAAAGCUAAAUAUUGGCGAGAGACCGAUAGCGAACAAGUACAGUGAUGGAAAGAUGAAAAGAACUUUGAAAAGAGAGUGAAAAAGUACGUGAAAUUGUUGAAAGGGAAGGGCAUUUGAUCAGACAUGGUGUUUUGUGCCCUCUGCUCCUUGUGGGUAGGGGAAUCUCGCAUUUCACUGGGCCAGCAUCAGUUUUGGUGGCAGGAUAAAUCCAUAGGAAUGUAGCUUGCCUCGGUAAGUAUUAUAGCCUGUGGGAAUACUGCCAGCUGGGACUGAGGACUGCGACGUAAGUCAAGGAUGCUGGC